This 373-nucleotide ribosomal RNA is filed under the name uncultured organism. Its description in RNAcentral is "partial 16S ribosomal RNA". It matches the Rfam family "Bacterial small subunit ribosomal RNA", at positions 527 to 896 of the family's 1533-position model. The record is from RNAcentral.
GGAGGGUGCAAGCGUUGUUCGGAAUUACUGGGCGUAAAGAGCGUGUAGGCGGUUUGGCAAGUCAGAUGUGAAAGCCCUGGGCUCAACCCAGGAAGUGCAUUUGAAACUGCCAUUCUAGAGUAUGGGAGAGGAGAGUGGAAUUCCCGGUGUAGAGGUGAAAUUCGUAGAUAUUGGGAGGAACACCCGUGGCGAAGGCGACUCUCUGGACCAAUACUGACGCUGAGACGCGAAAGCGUGGGGAGCAAACAGGGAUUAGAUACCCUGGUAGUCCACGCCGUAAACGAUGAGAACUAGGUGUAGCGGGUAUUGACCCCCCUGCUGUGCCGUAGCUAACGCAUUAAGUUCUCCGCCUGGGGAUACGGUCGCAAGGCUA